RNAcentral lists this ribosomal RNA (372 nucleotides) under Triticum aestivum (bread wheat). Its description in RNAcentral is "partial small subunit ribosomal RNA". Lineage: Eukaryota; Viridiplantae; Streptophyta; Magnoliopsida; Poales; Poaceae. The record is from RNAcentral.
UUUGACAUGACAUUCUCUUAUGUCGCUGCUGGAUGGGAGGGUUCUGCAUCGGAUCAAGCUGUUCUAAGAUGGGCUGUGACUAGUGGGGGUUUAGUUGUUCCUGAAGGUAAAUUUUACCUUGUUGAUUCAGGCUACGCAAAUACUCCCAGAUUUAUUGCCCCGUAUCGUGGAGAUCGCUAUCAUAUUGCUUCUAUUCGUGGAAGUAAUCGGCGAUAUACUGGUGAGAAGGACUUGUUCAACCAUCUACAUGCACAAUUGCGGAAUGUUGUUGAACGAACUUUUGGUGUUCUAAAAGCUCGUUUUUCAAUUCUAAGUAGGAAAGGAGGAAUUCCUUAUCCAUACAGAACUCAAGUGAAAAUUGUUAUGGCUUGU